This is a long non-coding RNA of Felis catus (domestic cat), 7125 nucleotides long. RefSeq lists it as uncharacterized. The record is from RefSeq and is a predicted model, not a curated record. The transcript is spliced from 4 exons. Lineage: Eukaryota; Metazoa; Chordata; Mammalia; Carnivora; Felidae.
UUGGGGGGUGGGAGGGGGCGGGAGGGUGAAUCGGGGAAGGAGGGAGGGAGAACUGAGGCAGCGAAGUUGCCCUUUCGCCUCAUGAUUUAUAUUUGGUCAGAGUAGCCCUGUUCCGCUUUCUACUAGCUGGAAUGUGUGUUGGACAUGUUGUUUCAAUAUGAGACAAUCAGCUGGGCCCUCUGUGGAAUGUCCCCGGAGACUGGAAACGACCUCCCAACAGGGUCAUUUGUUCAGCAGACUUCUAAGUGGCAUUCUUCAACAUCUGCAUUCUAUUAAUACCUUCAGAAUAUUUCCAUCAGCUUUGGGAAAUCAGAAGAUGCUUUGAGAGAUGGUCGGCACCGAAUCCCGGGGAAUGUUUAAUUCCUCUUCGUGAGGCUUUGGCGUUGGCGGGGACCUCCUCCUGCCCUGUCCCUUCUCCUUCAGCGUCACGCAGGUGGAUAUCCACGUUUGCCCAGUAAAACCCCAGGGCGAGGCGGUCUGUCAGGUGGACCGCUUUAGCCUAGGAGGGCCCACGGUGGAAGGCAAGUGUGUAAACACGCGGGAGAGAGUUGGAUGCGGGCAGAGCCAGCCGGGACAGACACCCUGGCUGCGUCUGCUGGAAAGGAGUGGAGAGAAAGGCCACAGUGCAAGGGGCCCCAGCGCAGUGGUGCAGGGCUGGCUUCCAAGUGCCCAUGGGCGCCUCGGCCCGGCCGGCCGGCCCCGUCUUGUCCUCCCAGGGCACGGAGGCGUCGAGGGGAAGGUUUGAAAAGAGGGGUGCAACGAAGAGGUGGAAGCAAGGGGGCAUUUCUUUAAGGAAAAUGAAAAAAAAAACCCAACUAGUUGAAAUACACAGAUCACGUGGAACUAAAACUUAGGUCAGUAAAGAGCACACUCGGGGAGGGUGAUGUGCUCCCGGACACUUGGCCUCCCGAGGAGCUGGAUGUAGAGGAGACCUCGGGGAGAAAGUCGUGAGGGUGGAGAGCUGCUGGAUGGGAAAGACGAGGGAGAAAACAGGGAAUCUGUGAACCCGUGCAGGGCCAGUUCAACCCGGCUCAACUCAGCGGAGUGUUUCAUGAAUAUUCACCGUGUGCAAACGCGGAGCCAGGUACCCUGUAAAGCAGGCUUCGAGGUCACAGGAAACGUGAUCAGAAAGUGAGAUCUAACAGCGGGGGACAGUUUCCCAAGGGGCAUCAAGGAGACACUCAGGGCAAGUACGGGCCCUGUGGACCGCGGGCCGGCCAAGCCCACGUGGGGGCCAGACCAUGCACCUGCUGGGGGUAAGUGAGAUGCACGUGCCUCGGUGCGGAAGCCCCCUCCCCAAAUCUGUCACAGCAGCUGAAGAGGUGUGUGCAAACAGAUCCAUUCAGGUAUUACCUUCAAGGGAUUAAAGAGUAAGCCUCUGCCUCUAAAAAGUCCUGGAAACGUAGUUUUGCCCAACAUGUACGUUACUGCUUAGAAUGCUAAUAUGCAAGGCUGGAGGGAUGAAUUAUAAGUCUUGGUAAAAAUUAUGGAGCAGUUUUCUUGGAAACUGAGAAGAAUGCCAGACUCUGAUAAGGCCCCUGAUUGUGAUAAACUGCUUCCUGCCUGUGUGAUUCUGAGACAGCUUGUCUUCACUGGCCCAGAGGAGGCUGAGGCAGUGGGAAAGGCCCCCUCGCCAUCCCGGACCCGAGGGGGUGCCUGCUGAGCAGCGUCCUCUGCCAGCGGGAGGGACCCGCCGGACACCCGUCACCGCCGCCCACGCUCCACCGGCCCUGGUGGCAAACCCUGACCUCAGCCUGGCACUUCUUGCCCCGGUAUCAGGCGAGCAUUCCGUGAGCAAAAGCUUAAAAAAGACACGACCGUCCGCGACUGAGAUUCAAAUCUUCUUUCACUUUGUCAGAAUCAGGCAGAAUCACUUGGAAAACAAAUAAACAGAUACGACACAGAGCUGGAGUCGGGUCUUCGGCUCAGGAAAUUCUUGAGCUCACGUGUCUGCUCGGAAGAGGUUCCCACAGCCUGGCCGUUAUUUUUUAUCUAUCCCCACAGGAUGUACUCCUACACUGUCUCUUCCAGGGUCCCUUGCUUCCUGUCCGUGUUCCCACAGCUGCCGAGGGUGACGGCUCCAGUGUGCCCUCAGAGACUUCUGAACCCGGGGUCCUCGCUGUCUGCCUGAGCUGGUAGCUGCCUGCAAAUGCAUGGCAGAUGUUCAACAUCAGGAAUCAAAACCGAGUUUUCGCACCACGCGGCACAUUCUUCCUCCCGGUGCUCUCGACAGGAUGUGGAACAAUUUCCCUCAUCUGUUGCUUGCUCAGUGGGGUUGGGACUUUGUGGAUUUUACAAUGAUACUUAGAUUCCUCCCAAAUCUCUUCCAAGAGGUUAAAAAACAAAGAAAACGUUGAUUCAGUCACAGACGGUUUCUAGUUGAGGAGUUUCUGGCUUUGUGGGACACACAGGUGAAAUCGGGAAGCAGGAGGAGGAGAGGAACCACCUCAUGGGGUUUCCUGAGUCUUGGCAUCCAAAGAAUGCCCUCCGGCUAGCCCAGGGGUCCUCUAAAUUCUGAAGAAAACGUGACCAAUCUACAAGAUUAAGGAAAAAAGCAAAAGGCAAUCUCUGUUCAUUUGCAAAUUGGACAAAUUCUGAGAAUUACUGCAAUCCUGCACUGGCACGGAGGGCACUCUGGUAGGGGACAGACAAGAGGGGCGCCAUUUCUCGCAACUAUACUCAGUAUGUGAUCAGUGUCCAGUGACACAAUUUGGAAAAUAUGCCUACUGCAACGGUUUCCUUCUGGAUUCCCAGGCUGUCACACUGGGUUCACAGAUGCUGUCCUGCGUGGGCAUGGCUCAUCCAGUGUCUUGCACAAGCUGGGUGUCGGCGAGCGUUGGUGAAGGGGACCGAGGCACCCUUUAUUUGUCUUUAUUUGUGCAAGCACGGAACGGGACCGGAAGGCAUCCAACUCAGCACCCCUACUCCUCGUCCAGGAUUUGAGCCUGGAGAGUCUGGGCCACGACCCUCAUCAGGGUGGGCUUGACUGCUUACCCGUUACUAACAAACAAACAAAAACUAGAAGUAGCUGAGAGCCAGACUUAAAUUCCUACAGGAACAGCCUCUCCGGCUGAGAGCUGCGCAUCCAUAGGGGAGUUCCGGACAGCUUGGAGUGGUGUUUGCAGAGGUUUGAUGAAAAUGCUUUGUGCUCCCGGCAGCACCCAUGACCUCUGUGUUUUUUCCCCUCAUGGGAACGUACCACCCCUGGGAAAGGCUGUGCACUCACUCGCAGUGGUUGAUGCUCAAGCUUGCAAAAAUCCACCAUGGCCUCUGACAGACGCUCAGCCUGAACACCAAGACUUUUCGAACCUGACGUCUCUUGGCUACAAGCUGAGUUCGAGCAUUCCUCACUGAUGUGGUGACUUCUGUCUGCCAGGAGCGUCGCCACAAAGUCUCCUCACAUUGGAAACUCGGGGCCCGGAUUCUGCCUGGUGAAGCUUCCAGUUUUCUAGGGCAUUCGUGGGCUCUCCUCUCGACUUAGCAGGAGACCCGACGUGAAAUCAACCAGAUGAGGCCUAAGAAUGAGUGCUUCUCGCUUCCUCUUGCUAUUUUCUCAUUUUUGGACCAAAUGAGAGGAGUCUCCUCUUCUUCAAAAGGCUUUUUUUCUUCACUGAAGGGAUCCAAAGCUGUUGCUAGAAUCAGACCCAGGUUGCAAUGACCGCUGUUAACACGGCCUUAAAUGGAUGUCUAGAUACCGUUUGAGGAAAAAUGGCUUUGGAGUCAGAAAUGGAGCCAACUUGGCUUUCUCAUCAGAGCCAUUUUUUUUUUUUAAUCAGUUAUCUAAGCCCUGUGUUUUGCUUUCCUUUCUUCCACACCUCCUUCUAGAAGUUGAAUACGUGGCUCUGGAGCCAGAUGGACAUGGCAUUGGAUCCUGACGUGGUCCUCGUUUGGUUUGGGAUCACUUAAUUAACCUGUGCAAACCUCAGCUUCCUCGUGAGUCACCCGGGGGCAAUACCAAUCCCCCCAGCCUCCCACCAUGAUGUAGUUCCAAGGGCUAAGAUAAUUUUUGCAUAUGUUUUUGGCACAGUCCAGGCAUGCAGCAGGCAUUCAAUAAAUGCUGACUCUAGGCUAUUUUGGGGGAAUGGCACCUAAAUCCACUUUGAAAAGUGUGAGGAAUGCCAAGCAAAUUUUGAGGUAUACAGAAAAAUCGCAGUUAGAAUUUAUCAGGAUUAUUUCUCUUUGUAGGAAACAACAAAGUUGUUGUUGGAUAACCCAAAACUCCGGUUAUCCAGAAUCAUAAAUAAACUCUUCUGGAAAAGAGAUUUCUGUCGGAUGGUGGAGAUUUUAACGCUUUCCAUUUAAAUUUAAAUUUGAAUACUUUCUGGGUGACAAUCUUUUUGAAAUACACUAUGUCAGGUAAAGUUUCCAGGACAGAAUUCAUCAGUUUCCAUCCAUCCCACGUUGCCAUUGUCUACAUCAAUUUUACCGUCCCGUGUUUUGGGUGGAGAUGACAUGGGAUAUGGGGCUUGCGGUAAGACCGACUUGUCUCCCUGCUUUUCCGUGCAGUGAAUGCCUCCCACUCUGCCUCGAGGGUGGAGGGGGGCUCCUGGCUCUGCCUUCAGACUCCCUUCUCAUUCUCCUGAAAGAUGCAGACGUGCCCCUGGCCUGCCUCCAAUGCCUGUGACCCAUACAGGACAGGGGUGUGCCGUGUGCAUCUGGAGAGGUAGCAAUCCUAUUUGGAUCUUCGGGGGGCCUUCUUCCAGGCUUGGGGACAUUGCAGAACUUUGGGGGAUGUGAGGGUGGAGGUCUCUGGGCCACCGAGGUUUCCUUUUCUUCUUUUGCACCAUUGUUAACCUUGUAUUUCCCAGGGGGAAGACGGUUUGCCCUUAAUGAGGGCAAGCUGAAAGUGGAAGAAUAAAGCCAGGACACAAAGUGUUCCGGAUGUCCAACCUCUCACUUGUCUGUGUGGUGACGAGGGCAAACGCUGACAUGGGUCUCUUUCCGGGCCGCGUGACCCGCGCCACCAGUCCUUCAUGUUGUCCCUGUCCGGCCACCGGGCCGUUGGGUACUCGUAGCCCUGCUGAGGUCUCUAGUGGAGAAGGAGUGAGAAACCGUAUUUUCUAUCCUGCUCUCGAAGUGAGACGUGGUACGAGCGCUGCCUUUCCAGCCUCGGGCCUCCCUUUCAAGAGUGAUAAGCCCGCGCGCGUUUUCUCGACCACCCUACGGCAGACCCCCGGCUUUCACGAGGGAAUCCGUGGGCGGUGAGGGAUGAAGCAAACCCUCGUGUCUGCAGAGUGGCUGCUCUGUGACCUCUGAAUCUGCUUUAAAAUUGGGAAAGAGUGAAACAAAACAAAACAAAACAUAAUGCCUGGCGGUGGAUACCCAGCUGGACGACAGAUGAGCGAAGAGGGAGAGAAGCAGAAGGGGGUCCGGCCAAGUUUGGCCUCAGCUGCAGACCCCUCCUGGGGGCAGACUCGUCCUGGCGUCGAGAGCAGGCGCUUUCUCCCAGCCUGCUUCUCCAGGAAGCUGCUUUCCCAGGCUCCCUCCGCAGGGAGGAGCAUCUUGGGAGCCGCCCGGCAGUGGCGGGGUCCAGGGGAGCCCUUCCUGGCCGCCUGGACCUCUGGGCGGGCGGCUCCCCGUCAAGGCCCCUGCUGGCCAUCACACCAGCCGCAAGGAGAGGAGCCGCUUUUCGUCAAGCUGCGGGGAUGUGGAUUUUGUUUAAAGGCGCUUUGUGUGAAAUCGAUUUUUGGUUUUCUCACGAAUGUUUGCUCAUGUCACAGGGCGUGCCCGGUGGCACAGAGGAGGCUUCUGAGGAACAAAUCACAGUUACAGCCAUUAAAGCGAGCUAACCUUGGGUCAAGACGUGUAAAUAAAUAUCCAGGCCCGUGGACUGGACCCAACCCUGAGAUGACGGAAUUGCAUAUAAAGGCUUCAUUCAAGCCUUUCAAACUGAGAUUGCAAAACCCUGCUUGCAGAGGUGCUAAGGGGAUCUGGUAAACAAAUCGGAGGGGGGAGCGUAGCGGGCCCCGCUUUCGCUCGUUCCCUGAUCACUGGCCUCAACGCGUUCCCAACUGACACCAAUAUCCAGGGUUUACAACGAGGUGUUUGGGGGAAGGACGGAGAGGAUUGAUCGUGAUAAUACUGGGGUCACGAACCUCCUUCUCAGGGGGAGGCUAAAAAGUGCUGUGCUGGUACUCGUCGUAGGCAGACGUCUGUGUACGAAUUAGAGGGAAAUUGCAUCCCCUCGGCCCAUCCGGAGGUUGGGGGCAUGUCCAACUGUCCAGCUGCCCACUGACCCCAGUUGUUGGAGAUGCCAGGUUCCUGUCCACCACAGGUCGGCCGUGGUCCUUGCUUUACAAAGACCCCUCCCAGGUGUCAUCUGCUUGAGGUGCUUUGCUGGGGUGUUUCCUUCCACAAACCACCCCUCUCUGUGCAUUCUUAACUGUUUUGUUCACUCGACAACAGGAUUCUCACAGAGUUUGGUAAAUCUUAGAAAUUAGGAGUGCAAGUUCAAGGUUGGGCAGCUUUAGAAAGAGAGUAAAAAUGAAGAUUUUAAAGGUACUUUUGAUAAAAUAGCUAUGCUUAGAUUUGGGUCACAUUCUUUCUCUUUUCAUACCUUCAAGUUAAUCAUAAGAAUAAUUAUAAUGAUUUGUUUGUUUACUAAAAUGUUCUGAGAAUUUAGGAUUAACUAUCCCAGAAAUAACUUUUUAAAGGUUAAUGGGACAGGAGAGAAAUGGCUCUGAAACAAUGUUCUCUGAGUCUGAUGACAUAAAGUGUGCAUGUGACUCAUCCAGGAACGUCCCGGGAGUCGUACCGGGUUCUGAUCCAUUCCUGCGGACUCUGUGAAGCAGGAGCCUGACCCCACCUACAAAACCCCGUCCUGGUGCUGCGCUGAGAGCCGGGAGGGCACGAAGGCACUUCGUGUAGGAAAUCUUAAAGUGUGCAGGGGCCCGAUCAGCUCUUCGGUGGAGGAGGUUGGGGGGCAGAAGUGGAAUCAGUCCAAAGCACUAGCAACAUUAAUAGCUAAGGAUUACAUCCUUAAAAUGAAAUGAGUAAAAGAGCUAAGAAUUUUCUGAUACAUUUUUUUUUUUAAUUUUUUUUUCAACGUUUAUUUAUUUUUGGGACAGAGAGAGACAGAGCAUGAACUGGGGAGGGGCAGAGAGAGAGGGAGACACAGAAUCGGAA